AGGGAAUAUUGGACAAUGGGGGCAACCCUGAUCCAGCCAUGCCGCGUGAGUGAAGAAGGCCCUCGGGUUGUAAAGCUCUUUUGUCCGGAAAGAAAAGCUUCGGGUUAAUACCCCGGGGUUCUGACGGUACCGGAAGAAUAAGCACCGGCUAACUUCGUGCCAGCAGCCGCGGUAAUACGAAGGGUGCAAGCGUUACUCGGAAUUACUGGGCGUAAAGCGUGCGUAGGUGGUUGUUUAAGUCUGAUGUGAAAGCCCUGGGCUCAACGUGGGAAGGGCAUUGGGAACUGGGCAACUAGAGUGCGGUAGGUGGUAGUGGAAUUCCCGUUGUAGCAGUGAAAUGCGUAGAGAUCGGGAGGAACAUCUGUGGCGAAGGCGACUGCCUGGACCAGCACUGACACUGAGGCACGAAAGCGUGGGGAGCAAACA
This 426-nucleotide ribosomal RNA is filed under the name uncultured bacterium. RNAcentral's name for it is "bacterial SSU rRNA". It matches the Rfam family "Bacterial small subunit ribosomal RNA", at positions 356 to 774 of the family's 1533-position model. The record is from RNAcentral.